This 503-nucleotide ribosomal RNA is filed under the name uncultured bacterium. RNAcentral describes it as "partial 16S ribosomal RNA". It matches the Rfam family "Bacterial small subunit ribosomal RNA", at positions 30 to 523 of the family's 1533-position model. The record is from RNAcentral.
AUUGAACGCUGGCGGCAGGCUUAACACGUGCAAGUCGAGCGGGGUGAUGGUGCUUGCACUAUCACUUAGCGGCGGACGAGUGAGUAAUGCUUAGGAAUCUGCCUAUUAGUGGGGGACAACAUCUCGAAAGGGAUGCUAAUACCGCAUACGUCCUACGGGAGAAAGCAGGGGAUCACUUGUGACCUUGCGCUAAUAGAUGAGCCUAAGUCGGAUUAGCUAGUUGGUGGGGUAAAGGCCUACCAAGGCGACGAUCUGUAGCGGGUCUGAGAGGAUGAUCCGCCACACUGGGACGGAGACACGGCCCAGACUCCUACGGGAGGCAGCAGUGGGGAAUAUUGGACAAUGGGGGGAACCCUGAUCCAGCCAUGCCGCGUGUGUGAAGAAGGCCUUAUGGUUGUAAAGCACUUUAAGCGAGGAGGAGGCUCUUUUGGUUAAUACCCAAGAUGAGUGGACGUUACUCGCAGAAUAAGCACCGGCUAACUCUGUGCCAGCAGCCGCCGUAA